AAGUCAGAUGUGAAAGCCUCCUGUUCAACGGGAGAAUUGCAUCUGAAACUGCAGAUCUUGAGUGUAGGAGGGGAGAAUGGAACUUCUGGUGGAGCGGUGAAAUGCGUAGAUAUCAGAAGGAACGCCGGCGGCGAAAGCGAUUCUCUGGCCUAUUACUGACACUCAGUGUGCGAAAGCUAGGGGAGCAAACGGGAUUAGAUACCCCGGUAGUCCUAGCCGUAAACGAUGGGCACUAAGUAGAGGGAAUUACCGAUAUUCUCUCUGCCGGAGCUAACGCAUUAAGUGCCCCGCCUGGGGAGUACGGCCGCAAGGCUAAAACUCAAAAGAAUUGACGGGGGCUCGCACAAGCGGUGGAGCAUGUGGCUUAAUUCGAUGCAACGCGAAAAACCUUACCGGGGCUUGACAUGAUAGAAGUAGGAACCCGAAAGGGUAACGAACGGUAUCCAGUCCGUAGCUAUUACAGGUGUUGCAUGGCUGUCGUCAGCUCGUGUCGUGAGACGUUGGGUUAAGUCCCCUAACGAGCGAAACCCUUGUUUUUAGUUGCCAGCGGGUUGUGCCGGGCACUCUAGAAAGACUGCCGUCGUCAAGACGGAGGAAGGUGGGGACGACGUCAAGUCAUCAUGGCCCUUAUGCCCCGGGCUGCACACGUGCUACAAUGGUCGGUACAAACGGAAGCCAAA
This 680-nucleotide ribosomal RNA is filed under the name uncultured anaerobic ammonium-oxidizing bacterium. Its description in RNAcentral is "bacterial SSU rRNA". It matches the Rfam family "Bacterial small subunit ribosomal RNA", at positions 585 to 1254 of the family's 1533-position model. The record is from RNAcentral.